RNAcentral lists this ribosomal RNA (760 nucleotides) under Coenogonium leprieurii. Its description in RNAcentral is "mitochondrial SSU rRNA". It matches the Rfam family "Bacterial small subunit ribosomal RNA", at positions 367 to 1201 of the family's 1533-position model. Lineage: Eukaryota; Fungi; Ascomycota; Lecanoromycetes; Ostropales; Coenogoniaceae. The record is from RNAcentral.
GUCAAUGGCCUAACGGCUGAACCAGCAACUUGGAAGAAUGGUGGUAACAAGAGGUUACUAUUAUUAAUUAUGUUAAAUAAAGUUCUAAAUAAAUAACUUGAUAGUGACAUACUUUAUUUAUAAGUCUUGACCAAUUCACGUGCCAGCAGUCGCGGCAAUACGUGGAAGACUAGUGUUAUUCAUCUUUAAUAGGUUUAAAGGGUACGUAGACGGUUAAUUAAGUCAAAAAAACAAAGAUACUGAUUAAACUAGAGUUUUAUGAAAAGAAGUAGUACGGUUGGUGUAGUGAUAGAAUAUUAUAAUACUGCUUGGAAACUGGUAGAGGCGAAAGCAACUUCUUAUGUAUAAACUGACGUUAAGGGACGAAGGCUUAAUUAAUGAACAGGAUUAGAUACCCUGGUAGUCUAAGCAGACAAUGAUAAAUGCCAUAUGUGAAAUAUAAAAUAUUUUAUAUAUAAAUGAAAGUGUAAGCAUUUCACCUCGAGAGUAAUGCGGCAACGCAGGAACUGAAAUCAUUAGACCGUUUCUGAGACCAGUAGUGAAGUAUGUUGUUUAAUUUGAUGACCCGCAAAAAACCUUACCACAAUUUGAAUAUAUGAAUAAUAUACAGGCGUUGCAUGGCUGUCAACAGCUGAUGUCGUGAGACAGUGGUUAGAUCCAUUAAAUUAGCGUAAACCCUUACCUUUUUUUUUACAAAAGGUAGCUCGCCAAAAAGUAAAUUUGGUUAGAUAUAAGGGACUAAGACAAGCCAUCAUGACCC